GGCGGCGUCGCCAAGUGGUAAGGCAGCAGUUUGCAAAACUGCCAUACGGCGGUUCGACCCCGCCCGCCGCCU
RNAcentral lists this transfer RNA (72 nucleotides) under Deltaproteobacteria bacterium. Its description in RNAcentral is "tRNA-Cys". It matches the Rfam family "tRNA". From Rfam's summary of the family: Transfer RNA (tRNA) molecules are approximately 80 nucleotides in length. Their secondary structure includes four short double-helical elements and three loops (D, anti-codon, and T loops). Further hydrogen bonds mediate the characteristic L-shaped molecular structure. tRNAs have two regions of fundamental functional importance: the anti-codon, which is responsible for specific mRNA codon recognition, and the 3' end, to which the tRNAs corresponding amino acid is attached (by aminoacyl-tRNA synthetases). tRNAs cope with the degeneracy of the genetic code in two manners: having more than one tRNA (with a specific anti-codon) for a particular amino acid; and 'wobble' base-pairing, i.e. permitting non-standard base-pairing at the 3rd anti-codon position. Lineage: Bacteria; Pseudomonadati; Myxococcota; Myxococcia. The record is from RNAcentral.